CUGAUCUACACUAUAUACCUUUUUUACACUGUCUCAGUCUGGCAGUAUUGAACCUGUUGCUGCAUUAGCCGAGUUGUAUUUUGCUAGAUAGGGGAAGGAGGGUUGUCUGCUGUCUGGUAGGAGGGCUUUGUCUGUGUGUGCCUUUCUCUCUCUCUCCCUCUCUCUCUCUGUGUCUCUCAUACUCCCGCUUGCUCUCCCUCUGGCUCUCUCUCUCUCCCUCGCUCUCUCUCCCUUUCCCGUCUCUGUGGUUUGUAAGGGAGACAGCGACUAUGAGGAGACAAACUGAGGACUGGGGAACAAGGGAACUAGAGGGCUUGAAACCUCUUUUACAUCCUGCAUUGGCUCUGACCACAGUCCUUCCCUGCUCUCACAAGUGGAGCUCAGCCCUGCUUUCCUUCCUGUUGAUUCCCAGUCAGCUACUUGACUGCCUGAAGUUACAUUUUAGAUGCUGAAAUCACUGCACCUUAAAAACAAAAAGAUUAAGCUGCACUGCAUUCCUGGAAGGAGCUGAGGCUGCGUGUCUAAGAGCACCAUCAUUCCACAAAUGUAUGUCAGAAGCUACACCAGUCUGGUCUACUGGUAUUUUUAGGAAAGCAAAUAGUAGUUGGAAUUUUAAUGUUUGAAUAACAAGCAAAUGAAUAAAGCUGGUGGAGAGUCUGAAAGAGUUGGAUGC
RNAcentral lists this long non-coding RNA (673 nucleotides) under Crocodylus porosus (Australian saltwater crocodile). RNAcentral describes it as "lncRNA (ENSCPRG00005003834.1)". Lineage: Eukaryota; Metazoa; Chordata; Crocodylia; Crocodylidae. The record is from RNAcentral.